This is a long non-coding RNA of Herpailurus yagouaroundi (jaguarundi), 2721 nucleotides long. RefSeq lists it as uncharacterized. NCBI's taxonomy places the organism in Eukaryota, Metazoa, Chordata, Mammalia, Carnivora, Felidae. The transcript has 2 exons. The record is from RefSeq and is a predicted model, not a curated record.
ACACUGACUUCCCAAGUUUACAUCACAGAGAGGUCCAUAUCUGUGUGCAAGAGCCCCAUGGGCAAAGCUGGUCAGAUGGAGACCUUGGGCCAGGUUGUUACAUGGGAGGAUACUGUGAAAGACCAUUCACUCCAGUGGAGCUCCUCAGCAACGUUUGUAAGGUCGUUCUUAAGUUUGCCAAAGAUCUCCAAUUCCCUAGGCACCCGCAUUUCCUACUUCAUGUACCUGUAUCCUAAAUGUGUAGAUAGAUGCACACACACAGAGGAGCCACCCUCCAUUCUCAAUCCAUCUGUGCCAGAAACUGAGCGUGGGAAGUGAGAAGACACAUCUCAGGGAUGCUCUGGAAAUAGUGCUCUAUUGCUUGACCCAUUUCCAGAGACUUCAGGUUCAGGCUCUCACCUCCCAUAACCAGUCCCAUUACCUUCUGGAUUUUCCUCUUCCUUUCCUUCCAACACAUCCCCUUUCUCAAAUAUUUUGUUUUCAGCUCUUAGAAAUGACUAGGGAACAAAGUCCUUGUGUUCUUCAGCCCACUUCCAGGCUUCCCUCGGACCUGAUAGGCACUUCUCUACUGUAUUGUGGGCAUUGUUGACCUGGGUGAGGGGAGAUGUUGGCAUUAGGAAUUCCAUCAUCUCAUCCUGAGGGCAAUAUCCCAGACUGAUUUUGCAGACUGACCCUAGAGCUUAGGGAGCCAGAACAGGGCUACUUUUUAUAGCAAUUUGACAGAAUAAUUUUGUCGAGUCUAGUACAAGACAGGGCUUGUGAUUAAAAAACUUUCUUAUUGUAUUUUACAAAAGAAUUGGGCUAUGUGGAUUAGAAGUAAAUAGCCACUACUACAACUGUAAUUCACAGAUGGUUUGAGACACAGUGAGCUAGGGCAUGCUAGAGCUACUGUUGACAAUCCAGAGGCUGAAGGGCUCAGGGAAGAGGUGGUUUUCGGGUAUGGAUUGUGAGGUAUGGAUGGAAAAUAGAAAAUAGAAGUGUUUGUGGAAGACUGUGGAGGGAUAUCUGUCAGGUGUGCUGGAGUGAUGUGCUAGCAUUGCCCACUGGAACAGGGGAAAUAGAUGACGUACAAGCUGCCAUAGUGUGCUUCUCUGUGGGCCAGGUGCAUGCUGACCACUCCACAUCUUUAUAGAGAAGGGUUAGGUUCUAGUUAUGGGUGAGAUUUUUGCUGUCGUUAGGCCCCCCUCUCAACAUCCAAGUCUUGGGCUGAUAGGGAGUCAGGGCCAUGGAUGAAUAUAGAAACUGUUCCAGGGACCAAGCCAAGGUGCUUUCAUAGGAGUUUGGAUUCUCCUUGUAUUACCCCCUUGGCACCUUCCUCAUUAGCAUAGAGAGCAUGAAUUGAUGGUGCCCAUCUGUGCUCCUUCUGGAGUCCUCUCACAAGCCCAUUGCAGCCUCUUCCCAGCCAGUAUGCUAUAGAGGUGUUACACAUCCCCCUUUAAUAAUGGAAUUAAGGCUCUUCUGCAGAGAGGACUGCUAGGGGACACCCUAAAUGCUCUACCCUAUGAAAAAUGUCUCCAGGAUUGAACAUUCUGUUACUAAGUUCAAUGGCAAAGAGCCACCGCUUUGCUGAGAAAAGCACUAGCCAACUCCUUUCAGGCUACCAUGCUGAGCCCUGUUUCUCUUAAUCUCCUACCUUUCACAUUUAUUCCCAUUUCACACACUGCAGAAGUGAGGCUCAACUUUUCUCUUGCACAUUAUCCCCUUCCCUUCAGAAGAGUCUGGUCAUACAGGGAGUUGUAUCUCAUUUGAGUUAUGAGAAUUUAACUUUAAGAGGAAUUUAGCAUCAUUUAAUAUCUCAGCUUAUGAGGCAUUUCUACAUGUUUCCAGGGAAACCUGAUUUUGCAUUUCGGUUGAGUAGCUUGAGCCUGGUAAAAAGAGUGUGUGGUCAUUGUUACAAUAUCAAGCUGUGGUUGCCUCAGAAAAAUCUUGGUUUGUGGUAAUAACCUCUAUAUCCUAUUUUUUCUUUUGUCUUCUCCUUCUCUGGAUUACAGGUUUAAUUAUAUAAACGUUGAGUAUCAUUAGGCCAAAACACAAACGAAGCCAAAGAUCAGAGAGGUUAAGUAACUUGUUGCCUAUCACACAGACCGAGAUUUCAAACCCAUAUUAGUCUCUCCAGCCAUAUCCUUAACUGGCAUUAUUUAGAAUUUAUAUCAAAUAUCAUACCGGAAUUAGAGGUAUUAGAAUGAGAUUCAAGCCACGUGUAGUCAAAACCCCAAGGCUCCAAGGGUGCUGCUGUUUCUUCUUGCCAUGGUUUAGGGUUGCAAUAUGAUUUCAUAGGCAUUGAGGAUGGAGAAUAAGUUAUAAGCAGUAUCAUUUACAAGGAUAGGGUUUGGAUUUAGAAACAUGCCUUCAAGUCAGGUGAUGCAUUCAUUGGCUACUCUGGGCACAUAACAAGCUGCAUAAAUUUUUAUACCUCUCUACCCUACUCUUUUGUAAAAAAACAAAACAAAACAAAACUCAUACUUGCAGACAUAAUUUGCAUAGAACGGUCAGGUGGUAAUAGUUUACAGGGAUGUCAUGUUCAUUCUUCCUUGCUAGCUUAUUUCUAAGAUUCAGUUUGUUUUCUAAUCGAUCACAUUGACAAAAAGGAAAAAAGACACACACACCAGUGUUACAAAACCUUGUAUUAAUCAUUUCCCUUCACUUUCAAUAUAACAUUGAUAUGAAAUAUAGCCAUGAUUCUUAGUUACAUGGAGGAAAUGAGUAAUAAAUACAUUGUAG